AUUCUGGUUGAUCCUGCCAGUAGUUAUAUGCUUGUCUCAAAGAUUAAGCCAUGCAUGUCUAAGUACACACGAAUUAAAAGUGAAACCGCAAAAGGCUCAUUAUAUCAGUUAUGGUUCCUUAGAUCGUUAACAGUUACUUGGAUAACUGUGGUAAUUCUAGAGCUAAUACAUGCAAUUAAAACAUGAACCUUAUGGGACAUGUGCUUUUAUUAGGCUAAAACCAAGCGAUCGCAAGAUCGUUAUAUUGGUUGAACUCUAGAUAACAUGCAGAUCGUAUGGUCUUGUACCGACGACAGAUCUUUCAAAUGUCUGCCCUAUCAACUUUUGAUGGUAGUAUCUAGGACUACCAUGGUUGCAACGGGUAACGGGGAAUCAGGGUUCGAUUCCGGAGAGGGAGCCUGAGAAACGGCUACCACAUCUAAGGAAGGCAGCAGGCGCGUAAAUUACCCACUCCCAGCUCGGGGAGGUAGUGACGAAAAAUAACAAUACAGGACUCAUAUCCGAGGCCCUGUAAUUGGAAUGAGUACACUUUAAAUCCUUUAACAAGGACCAAUUGGAGGGCAAGUCUGGUGCCAGCAGCCGCGGUAAUUCCAGCUCCAAUAGCGUAUAUUAAAGUUGUUGCGGUUAAAACGUUCGUAGUUGAACUUGUGCUUCAUACGGGUAGUACAACUUACAAUUGUGGUUAGUACUAUACCUUUAUGUAUGUAAGCGUAUUACCGGUGGAGUUCUUAUAUGUGAUUAAAUACUUGUAUUUUUUCAUAUGUUCCUCCUAUUUAAAAACCUGCACUAGUGCUCUUAAACGAGUGUUAUUGUGGGCCGGUACUAUUACUUUGAACAAAUUAAGAGUGCUUAAAGCAGGCUUCAAAUGCCUGAAUAUUCUGUGCAUGGGAAAAAGAAAAAAGACCUUUGUUUCUGCUUUCUUUGGUUUUCAAAUCAAAAGGAAAGGAUAAUAAAAACCUUUUGGGGGGC
Non-coding RNA from Drosophila simulans, 969 nucleotides. NCBI's taxonomy places the organism in Eukaryota, Metazoa, Arthropoda, Insecta, Diptera, Drosophilidae. The record is from Rfam.